This 694-nucleotide ribosomal RNA is filed under the name uncultured bacterium. RNAcentral describes it as "bacterial SSU rRNA". It matches the Rfam family "Bacterial small subunit ribosomal RNA", at positions 32 to 715 of the family's 1533-position model. The record is from RNAcentral.
AACGCUAGCUACAGGCUUAACACAUGCAAGUUGAGGGGCAGCAUGGUCUUAGCUUGCUAAGGCCGAUGGCGACCGGCGCACGGGUGAGUAACACGUAUCCAACCUGCCGUCUACUCUUGGACAGCCUUCUGAAAGGAAGAUUAAUACAAGAUGGCAUCAUGAGUCCGCAUGUUCACAUGAUUAAAGGUAUUCCGGUAGACGAUGGGGAUGCGUUCCAUUAGAUAGUAGGCGGGGUAACGGCCCACCCAGUCUUCGAUGGAUAGGGGUUCUGAGAGGAAGGUCCCCCACAUUGGAACUGAGACACGGUCCAAACUCCUACGGGAGGCAGCAGUGAGGAAUAUUGGUCAAUGGGCGAGAGCCUGAACCAGCCAAGCAGCGUGAAGGAUGACUGCCCUAUGGGUUGUAAACUUCUUUUAUAAAGGAAUAAAGUCGGGUAUGUAUACCCGUUUGCAUGUACUUUAUGAAUAAGGAUCGGCUAACUCCGUGCCAGCAGCCGCGGUAAUACGGAGGAUCCGAGCGUUAUCCGGAUUUAUUGGGUUUAAAGGGAGCGUAGAUGGAUGUUUAAGUCAGUUGUGAAAGUUUGCGGCUCAACCGUAAAAUUGCAGUUGAUACUGGAUAUCUUGAGUGCAGUUGAGGCAGGCGGAAUUCGUGGUGUAGCGGUGAAAUGCUUAGAUAUCACGAAGAACUCCGAUUG